This 328-nucleotide ribosomal RNA is filed under the name uncultured soil bacterium. RNAcentral describes it as "bacterial SSU rRNA". It matches the Rfam family "Bacterial small subunit ribosomal RNA", at positions 26 to 355 of the family's 1533-position model. The record is from RNAcentral.
AGAUUGAACGCUGGCGGCAUGCCUUACACAUGCAAGUCGAACGGCAGCACGGGGGCAACCCUGGUGGCGAGUGGCGAACGGGUGAGUAAUGCAUCGGAACGUGCCCAGUAGUGGGGGAUAACUAGUCGAAAGAUUAGCUAAUACCGCAUACGACCUAUGGGUGAAAGCGGGGGAUUCGCAAGAACCUCGCGCUAUCGGAGCGGCCGAUGUCUGAUUAGCUAGUUGGCGGGGUAAAAGCCCACCAAGGCUUCGAUCAGUAGCUGGUCUGAGAGGACGACCAGCCACACUGGGACUGAGACACGGCCCAGACUCCUACGGGAGCAGCAGC